AGAGUUUGAUCAUGGCUCAGAUUGAACGCUGGCGGCAGGCCUAACACAUGCAAGUCGAACGGUAGCACAGAGAGCUUGCUCUUGGGUGACGAGCGGCGGACGGGUGAGUAAUGUAUGGGGAUCUGCCCGAUAGAGGGGGAUAACUACUGGAAACGGUAGCUAAUACCGCAUAAUCUCUAAGGAGCAAAGCAGGGGAACUUCGGUCCUUGCGCUAUCGGAUGAACCCAUAUGGGAUUAGCUAGUAGGUGGGGUAAUGGCUCACCUAGGCGACGAUCCCUAGCUGGUCUGAGAGGAUGACCAGCCACACUGGAACUGAGACACGGUCCAGACUCCUACGGGAGGCAGCAGUGGGGAAUAUUGCACAAUGGGCGCAAGCCUGAUGCAGCCAUGCCGCGUGUAUGAAGAAGGCCUUCGGGUUGUAAAGUACUUUCAGCGAGGAGGAAGGCAUUAAGGUUAAUAACCUUGGUGAUUGACGUUACUCGCAGAAGAAGCACCGGCUAACUCCGUGCCAGCAGCCGCGGUAAUUC
This 527-nucleotide ribosomal RNA is filed under the name uncultured bacterium. RNAcentral's name for it is "bacterial SSU rRNA". It matches the Rfam family "Bacterial small subunit ribosomal RNA", at positions 8 to 526 of the family's 1533-position model. The record is from RNAcentral.